ACAUGCAAGUCGAGGGGCAGCACAUGAAGUAGCAAUACAGAUGGUGGCGACCGGCGCACGGGUGAGUAACACGUAUGCAACCUACCUCAACAGGAGAUAACCCGGCGAAAGUCGGACUAAUACUCCAUAAUACAGGGAUCCCGCAUGGGAAUAUUUGUUAAAGAUUUAUCGGUUGAAGAUGGGCAUGCGUUCCAUUAGCUAGUUGGUGAGGUAACGGCUCACCAAGGCAACGAUGUCUAGGGGUUCUGAGAGGAAGGUCCCCCCACACUGGAACUGAGACACGGUCCAGACUCCUACGGGAGGCAGCAGUGAGGAAUAUUGGACAAUGGAUGGAAAUCUGAUCCAGCCAUGCCGCGUGCAGGGAAAGACGGCCCUAUGGGUUGUAAACUGCUUUUGUAUGGGAGCAAUAAGGGCUACGUGUAGUCCGAUGAGAGUACCAUACGAAUAAGCACCGGCUAACUCCGUGCCAGCCGCAGC
RNAcentral lists this ribosomal RNA (477 nucleotides) under uncultured bacterium. Its description in RNAcentral is "bacterial SSU rRNA". It matches the Rfam family "Bacterial small subunit ribosomal RNA", at positions 53 to 518 of the family's 1533-position model. The record is from RNAcentral.